Molecule: ribosomal RNA, 436 nt
Filed under: uncultured soil bacterium
Lineage: Bacteria
Description: bacterial SSU rRNA
Rfam family: Bacterial small subunit ribosomal RNA
Source: RNAcentral
AGAUUGAACGCUAGCGGGAUGCUUUACACAUGCAAGUCGAACGGCAGCGCGGACUUCGGUCUGGCGGCGAGUGGCGAACGGGUGAGUAAUAUAUCGGAACGUGCCCAGUAGCGGGGGAUAACUACGCGAAAGCGUGGCUAAUACCGCAUACGCCCGUACGGGGGAAAGGGGGGGAUUCUUCGGAACCUCUCACUAUUGGAGCGGCCGAUAUCAGAUUAGCUAGUUGGUGAGGUAAAGCUCACCAAGGCGACGAUCUGUAGCUGGUUUGAGAGGACGACCAGCCACACUGGGACUGAGACACGGCCCAGACUCCUACGGGAGGCAGCAGUGGGAAUUUGGACAAGUGGGGAACCUGAUCAGUCCAUCCCGCGUGUGCGAGUGGAGGCCGUUCGGGUUGUAAAGUACGUACUUUUAGGCGUAGGGAAGGAAACGGCGU